CAUCAUCAUCAUCAUCAACAACAAUACCCACCGCCACAACAUCAUAGUAUUAGUGCAGCAACAACAACGAGUGCAGGAACUAAUAACAACGUUGUGGUUGUUGAUGUGACAGGAGAUAGUAGGUUCCCUCAAUGGAGCAUCCAAGAAACAAAGGAGUUCCUAAUGAUCCGUGCGGAGCUGGAUCAGACUUUCAUGGAGACAAAGAGGAACAAGCAGCUCUGGGAAGUCAUCUCCAACACCAUGAAAGAAAAGGGUUUCCAUCGAAGCGCUGAGCAGUGCAAGUGCAAGUGGAAAAACCUUGUUACCCGUUAUAAGGGAUGUGAAACGAUGGAGGCAGAAGCAAUGAGGCAGCAAUUCCCAUUCUACAACGAGCUUCAAGCUAUCUUCACCGAUAGAAUGCAGAGGAUGCUUUGGGCCGAAGCAGAAGGCGGAGGCGGAGGCGGAGGAGGAGGAGGAGGUUCUUCUACUAACAAGAAGAAAGCUGCGACGGCGCAGCUGUCUUCGGACGAAGAAGAAGAGGAAGAGAGCGAAUUAGGAGAUCCUCAACAAAAGAAUGUAAAAAGAAAGAAAAGAUUAAAGAAGGUUAAGAGGGUGGAAGAUAGUGGUGGUGCGAGUAAUUUGAAGCAUCUGAAGGGGAUUCUGGAGGAGUUUAUGAGGCAACAGAUGGAGAUGGAGGCGCAAUGGAUGUCGGCAUUCGAGGCGAGGGAGAAUGAUCGGAGGUUGAAGGAGUUGGAAUGGAGGCAGACAAUGGAGGCUUUGGAGAAUCAGAGGAUAAUGAUGGAGCAGAGAUGGAGGGAGAGUGAAGAACAAUGGAGGAUUAGGGAAGAAGAUAGGGCUCAUAAGAGAGAUGCUCUUAUCACUGCACUUCUCAACAAGCUUUCAAGACAACAAGAUCAAUAACCAACUUAGUUAGUUAGUUAGAGUUAGUUAUCUUUGUUGGUUAGAACUAACUUCCUUUUCAUAUUGUGUUUAUGCUACUGAAUUCUCAUGAUGAUGAUGAUGAUGAAGCAAAGCUUAAUUUGACACAUUAUGGAGGGCCUAACUAACAACCGAAAACGGGCAAAAAGAAUUAUGGACAAGGCAUUGACCACAAGAUAAUGGUUCAUCAUGUUGUCUAUUCCAUAAUAUAUAUGAAGAGCACAGUUUUUAGGUUAAUGGACCAUUUUUGCUACAAUGGAUACUCAUCACUACUAUUACACAUACACACACAAUUACAUUUGUUGCUUUCACUUUAUUUUGAUUAAAAUGAAUAAUUUAACUUCUUUUAUGUAUCAUGCUAAAUUUCUAUACUCUACUUCCAUGCAUUUCGGUAAUUGUAUUAAAUGAUGAAGUAGGGUUUUUAGAGUUGUAUAUGUAUAUGUACACAUAAUGCAAUUGUUCCUUACUC
Arachis ipaensis is the source of this 1387-nucleotide RNA transcript. It is a transcript of the gene named trihelix transcription factor GT-3b, with no coding region annotated. NCBI's taxonomy places the organism in Eukaryota, Viridiplantae, Streptophyta, Magnoliopsida, Fabales, Fabaceae. The record is from RefSeq and is a predicted model, not a curated record.